This 1608-nucleotide ribosomal RNA is filed under the name Triticum aestivum (bread wheat). Its description in RNAcentral is "partial small subunit ribosomal RNA". Lineage: Eukaryota; Viridiplantae; Streptophyta; Magnoliopsida; Poales; Poaceae. The record is from RNAcentral.
AUGGACCCUCCCGCGACGGCCGGCUCCCCCUCCCCCACCACCGCCACCACCUCCUCCUCGCUGCGGAGGCGCACCGCGCUCUCCGUCAACACGUCCGCGCCGGGCCGCGGCGGCAGGGGCAUGGAGCGGGAGAGCAAGGAGGCGGCUGAGACGGAGAGGGACGUGGAGCGGGCGGCGGGGGCGGAGCCGGUGAGCCCGGCGGGGCGGCUGUUCCGGGAGGCGCACUUCAACUGCUACAUCGUGGCCCUGCUGGGCCUCGGCGCGCCGGUGGACGUGGCGGCGGCCCGCGCCGGGCUGGAGGCCACGCUCGUCCGCCACCCCCGCUUCUGCAGCGUCCAGGUGUCGGACGACGUGAAGAAGAACGCAAAGCCACGGUGGGUGCGGACCACGGUGAACCUGGACGACCACGUCGUCUUCCCGGACCUGGACCCUGCCGCCACGUCGGCCGACCCCGACCGUGCCCUGGAGGACUACGUGUCCUCCCUGUCCACGCGGCCCAUGGACCACUCCCGCCCGCUCUGGGAGUUCCACGUCAUCAACCUCCCGACCUCCGAGGCGGCCGGCGCCGUCGCCAUCCGCAUGCACCACUCCCUCGGCGACGGCGUGUCGCUCAUCUCGCUCCUCACCGCCUGCACCCGCAGCGCCGCCGACCCGGCCAGGCUGCCGUCGCUGCCGUCGCCCCCGCCGCCGCGGCGCUCCGGCGCCGCCCCGCCGCUCUCGGCCGGCGCCCUCGCGCUCGCCGCGUGGGCCUGGUCGCUCGUCGCGCUCGCGUGGAACACGCUGGUGGACGUGGCGCUCUUCGUGGCCACGUCGUGGUUCCUGCGCGACGCGCCCACGCCGUUCCUGGGGUCCCCCGGCGUCGAGUUCCGCCGCAAGCGCUUCCUCAACUGCACCCUGGACCUCGACGACGUCAAGCUCGUCAAGAAUGCCAUGAAGUGUACUGUGAACGAUGUGCUGGUUGGCGUGACCUCUGCGGCGCUGUCGCGCUACUAUUUCCGCAAGACCGGUUCAGGCGAGAGCAGCAGCGACAAGAGAAAGCAGCGGAAGAACAUCCGCAUGAGAUCGGCGUUGCUCGUCAACAUUCGGAAAACACCCGGCCUGCAUACAUUGGCACAGAUGAUGGAUCCCAGUAAGGACAACGCUGUCAAAUGGGGGAACCAGAUCGGUUACAUCGUGCUCCCGUUCCAUAUAGCGAUGCACGACGAUCCACUCGAGUACAUCCGGCAGGGGAAGAAGACAGCGGACAGGAAGAAGAGAUCUUUGGAAGCGGUCUUCACAUAUUGGAGUGGAAAUCUAGUGGUGAAACUCCUCGGCAUUAAGGCAGCCGCGGCUCUCUGCUAUGGCAUGUUCACUAACACCACCAUGUCAUUCUCAAGCCUGGCCGGACCUACCGAGAAGGUGGAGUUCUAUGGUCAUCCGAUCGUCUAUAUAGCGACAAGUGUCUACGGGCAUCCACAUGCUCUAACCGUGCAUUUUCAAAGUUACAUGAACAUCAUGAAGCUUGUCCUUGCGGUGGACGAUGAGCAAUUCCCGGACUCUCAUCAACUACUGGAUGACUUUGCUGAGUCCCUCAGGCUUGUUCGUCAGGCAGCUUCAGCAAGAUCGUAG